ACCACUACAGAACCCACCACCACCACUACAAAACCCACCACCACCACCACCACCACUACAGAACCCACCACUCCCACUACAAAACCCACCACCAGCACCACCACUACAAAACCCACCACCAGAACCACCACUACAAAACCCACCACCAGAACCACCACUACAAAACCCACCACCAGAACCACCACUACAAAACCCACCACCAGAACCACCACUACAAAACCCACCACCAGAACCACCACUACAAAACCCACCACCAGAACCACCACUACAAAACCCACCACCAGAACCACCACUACAAAACCCACCACCAGAACCACCACUACAAAACCCACCACCAGAACCACCACUACAAAACCCACCACCAGAACCACCACUAAAAAAACCACCACCACCACCCCGAGAGCAACAACCACCACUACUAAACCGACCACCACCACCACCAGCCCACCACCACCAAGAUGUUUAACUCAGGCAUUCAACGGAGUGUUCUACUGGUCCUCCCCAGGCUUCGGGAUUACCAACUACCCGAAUAACUUUAACUGCGCACUGCGAGGAGUUUCGACGACAUCCAUGUUGACGCUGAAACUGGAGAGGUUCACGCUGCAGGGAGCGCUGAGAAGAUGUGUGGAUGGCGUCGAGUUAACAUUCUUGUACAAUCGAACGACAACGUUGUGUGGGUCUCAAUCAGGGAAAGUCUUUACAUCGCCAUCUUUCAAUUUCAACGCGAGAUUCUUCACCGACCCCACGAAGACCUAUCAGGGCUACAACAUCUCCUUCACGCCUGCAACCACGAGUUGUCACCAGAUAAUCACGGCAGCUGUUGGUCAGACUGGCACAAUAACUUCCCCUCCAGCAGAAAAAUACUGCGAAUACCGAAUCCAGGCUCCUUCUGGAAGUCGCGUGAAGGUCAACGAAGUUACAUCAAGGAUUCUAGGGACAACGAACUGUGAAACUGACUGGCUUCUGCUGAACGGGAGGAGUGAGAAGAUGUACCCGUCAGACACCAGCUUAAUUAUCUGCGGCUAUAGGGUAGUGCCUUCACCUCUGAUAUCCCAGACCAAUGAGGUGUACGCAGCUUAUCAAGGCACCAGCAGCAGCAGCCUCGGUGUCACUAUCAAGUAUACCGUCAUCUAAGUCAAACGUUCCUGGAUUUUCUCGCCAAUCACGACUCCAAUGUAUCUACUAUACGGGCACGAAUUUCAUUUUCUUUACAACAAAGGAGACAGCUCAAGGGCACACAAAAAAGGAAACAAUAAUGAAAAAAAAAGAGCCCGCUUCUCGCUGCUCCUAAAAAAAUGAAUCAAAAGAGGUGGCCGAAAGAGAGGUCAAUUUCGGGAGGAGAAUUCAUUAGUACACCUGCAACCCUUUCAGUUUGCCUCUUGCCCACGAUGUUUCUUUGUUUAAAAUCAUAUCACUGGUAAGCCAAGUCAGCUGAUAUAACUUAAACGAGGAACAGAUAUCAAGGCUGGUAUUACAAGACACUUUCCCUUCUCACAUCAAGAUAUUUCUAAAGGUCAAAAGGGGAUAUCAAUCAGGCUCUAAUGAGUGUUUUUUAGGCUCAGGGUACAGAAGAUGGGUCAAACUACCACCAGGGUCAUAAAACUAGAACCGGAAAUGCCCACAACUUCUAGGAAAGCCUUGUCAAAUAUGUGUUCUUGGGCGGCGAAAUGUCUUAUAAUCCGAGCCUAAGCAUCCUUUUAGUGUUCUACAAUAGCCGCCCCAAGAAAAUAAAUCUAUGCAGCAG
Long non-coding RNA from Eriocheir sinensis (Chinese mitten crab), 1744 nucleotides. RefSeq lists it as uncharacterized. The transcript is spliced from 5 exons. Lineage: Eukaryota; Metazoa; Arthropoda; Malacostraca; Decapoda; Varunidae. The record is from RefSeq and is a predicted model, not a curated record.